This 764-nucleotide ribosomal RNA is filed under the name uncultured Bdellovibrio sp. RNAcentral describes it as "bacterial SSU rRNA". It matches the Rfam family "Bacterial small subunit ribosomal RNA", at positions 57 to 834 of the family's 1533-position model. The record is from RNAcentral. Lineage: Bacteria; Pseudomonadati; Bdellovibrionota; Bdellovibrionia; Bdellovibrionales; Pseudobdellovibrionaceae.
GCAAGUCGAACGGGGAAAGGUCUUCGGACCGAGUACUAGUGGCGCACGGGUGAGGAAUACGUAGAUAAUCUGCCCUUAGGCGGGGAAUAACUGGUCGAAAGAUCAGCUAAUACCGCAUAAGACCACGCCUUCUGCGGAAGGAGAGGUUAAAGGCUUCGGCCACCUAGGGAUGAGUCUGCGUCCGAUUAGCUAGUUGGUGGGGUAAGAGCCUACCAAGGCGACGAUCGGUAACUGGUCUGAGAGGAUGACCAGUCACACUGGGACUGAGACACGGCCCAGACUCCUACGGGAGGCAGCAGUAGGGAAUAUUGCACAAUGGAGGAAACUCUGAUGCAGCGACGCCGCGUGAGUGAUGAAGGCCCUCGGGUUGUAAAGCUCUGUUCUUAGGGAAUAAAAAAAUGAAGGUACCUAAGAAGAAAGGACCGGCUAACUUCGUGCCAGCAGCCGCGGUAAGACGAGGGGUCCAAGCGUUGUUCGGAAUCAUUGGGCGUAAAGCGGGUGUAGGCGGCCUUGCAAGUCAGAAGUGAAAGCCCUGGGCUCAACCCAGGAAGGGCUUUUGAAACUGCAAGGCUUGAGUGUGGGAGAGGAUAGUGGAAUUCCAGGUGUAGUGGUGAAAUACGUAGAGAUCUGGAGGAACACCGGUGGCGAAGGCGGCUAUCUGGCCCAACACUGACGCUCAGACCCGAAAGCGUGGGGAUCAAACAGGAUUAGAUACCCUGGUAGUCCACGCCAUAAACGAUGGAUACUUGGUGUUGGUGGUAUUG